GAGGCAUGUCGGAAGUAUCUGCACCACAAAGAAGAUCUUAGAACUAGAGAUUUUAAGAGCAAGGUACUGUGAAAUUUCAUUGCAUUUGAUGUAUGUUAAUUAUUUCCUGAAUUCAAACUCAAGUACUAAACAUUAUUGUAUACAAAUACAAGUGAUGAUCUGUGAAGGAUUUGUAAAGGCGUGCUACCAUUUUGUUUAGCACAAUGUAACAAUUAACUUGUCUGUCACAUAGAUAAAUGAUCCACCAACGUGGAAGUACAACACAACAGGAUGCCUUGUUCGGUUAUGCAGUCAGUCACAGAACACACUGCUCACUUAUUAUCACUACUCUCAUCUUUCAACUAGAACAGUCUCUCUGCUUAGUGUAAUUCUAUUAUGAGAUUCAAAAGCUAUGAAAGAGAAAAGAAAAAGAAUUGACAGUGUUAGUCUUGUUGUUGAAACCAAAAGAAAUUGGCAAAUGGAGCAACCUUUCAAUUUGGUAAGCUAGACCAUGCCACACAUAAGGGAACUAUA
RNAcentral lists this unclassified non-coding RNA (513 nucleotides) under Hevea brasiliensis (rubber tree). Lineage: Eukaryota; Viridiplantae; Streptophyta; Magnoliopsida; Malpighiales; Euphorbiaceae. The record is from RNAcentral.